CCAGGAAGCUAGCAGAGAGGACAGGGGAAUCCAACAUGGCAUAUCCAUCCCAUGGAAAAGUAUUUCUGUUGGUUUUGACUGGGCCACUGGGGCCUGGGGCUGUCUAGGGUCCUAGGAAUCAUCAACAGGGCACUCAGAAGUAUGUGGUUUUGCUAGUCCUGGAGUCUUUCCCUUCUCCAUCCUGGGGCAGGCCCCACCCCAGGGAUCAAGACUUGCUUCCAGAAGGCCCGAAUCAUCACAAAUUAUCACUAGGCAAUAACCAAAAGACAGAUUUGCAAUUCUCAGGAGAAGGGUGCUGAGUGAGAGGAGAGGAGAGAAGCUCAAAAAAGUGCAGAGUGAAUUGAGGACUUUGGAAUUCCAAUUGGAAGACCCAAUGAAAAUCAGGGUGGAUAUGAGAAGCAGU
RNAcentral lists this long non-coding RNA (403 nucleotides) under Heterocephalus glaber (naked mole-rat). Its description in RNAcentral is "lncRNA (ENSHGLG00100041550.1)". Lineage: Eukaryota; Metazoa; Chordata; Mammalia; Rodentia; Bathyergidae. The record is from RNAcentral.